Molecule: ribosomal RNA, 376 nt
Filed under: uncultured bacterium
Lineage: Bacteria
Description: bacterial SSU rRNA
Rfam family: Bacterial small subunit ribosomal RNA
Source: RNAcentral
ACGGCUCAGUAACACGUAGGUAGCUACCCUUUAGCGGGGGAUAGCCCGCCGAAAGGCGGAGUAAUCCCGCAUAAUCCCCGCCUUUGGCGGGGGAAAGAGUUUAACUGCUCACUAAAGGAGGCGCCUGCGGCCUAUCAGCUUGUUGGUAGGGUAAUGGCCUACCAAGGCAAAGACGGGUAGGGGGCGUGAGAGCGUGGCCCCCCAGAAUGGGACUGAGACACGGCCCAUACACCUACGGGUGGCAGCAACUGGGAAUCUUGCGCUAUGGGCGAAAGCCUGACGCAGCGACACCGCGUGAAGGAUGAAGGCCUUCGGGUUGUAAACUUCUGUUAAAUAGCACCGGCUAACUACGUGCCAGCAGCCGCGGUAAUACGAU